ACGACCUUUAAAUUUGGUCCAGAGAGGCUGAAAAGGUAAGAUUGUAUAUAAUUGUGUAAAAGCAGCAUUUUUAUGUAUAGCUUUAUUUCGUAUGCAACGAGCCUUCUGCCAUAGUAGAAGGCUCUUAUUUUU
Regulatory RNA element from Clostridium pasteurianum, 132 nucleotides. It matches the Rfam family "PyrR binding site". From Rfam's summary of the family: This family represents the PyrR binding site and terminator structure. This RNA structure is found upstream of a variety of genes involved in pyrimidine biosynthesis and transport. Lineage: Bacteria; Bacillati; Bacillota; Clostridia; Eubacteriales; Clostridiaceae. The record is from Rfam.